This 2747-nucleotide long non-coding RNA is filed under the name Homo sapiens (human). RNAcentral describes it as "non-protein coding lnc-FAM120B-1:2". Lineage: Eukaryota; Metazoa; Chordata; Mammalia; Primates; Hominidae. The record is from RNAcentral.
CGUCUGAAAAAAAAAAAAAGAAAGAAAAGAAAAGAAACAGCCCUUGGCUUGCAAGCUGUUCAUUUUUCUGAAGGAGGAAAUUGAAGGGUGAAAUCAGCCUUUCUAAGAAUCUGAUUCAUCUCAUUAUUGCCAGCAUUAUUAGAUGUUAGAUAAAAAACAGUUAAUUUCAACCUUUUCUACCUGGCACGUUAUCUGAACUAAAAAGAAAGAGAAGCAGCAGCCCUUCAAAAAUAGAUUUAUCUUUAUUUCUUUAUGGCUUCCCAAAAAGUCUCUUUUAUCUGUGGAAGCUGGAGUAAGAAUAAACCCCAUAAGACACAUUAUGAGAGACUGAGGUGAUUUCUGUUGGCAGCACCCACACCCUGGGUUGGGGUCCCUCAGGCCUCACCCUAACCAGGAGACAACCUGAGAACCCAGGGCACUGCGUCCACGUGUGACCGUGGACAUCAGGAGAGCACCGGCUCUUCACUGAUUACAGCUUUGCGUUUCCCCACGGGGGCCACUGAACUUUAAUCACGUUUUCAAUAAAACCAGAUAAAGUAGUCAGGAAGGUCAUGCGGGUCAUAUGUUUCCCCACUGGCUCUCUCUACGAUUUCACUGUCUUCUGAUCCCAUCUUAUAUGAGACACAUUUAAUACCAAGAGUGAAAGGGGCCCUGGGUGUGUUUCUCGGUGUCCACUCAGCCCUCUGCCCCUUUGUGAGCAUCAGGUUUAUACGUUUUUAUGAAAUGGUGGGAGACAGGCUCUCCCUUGAUGCAGUCCCUGUAGCUAUAAAAAUAUGGACAAUGCAGAUAAUUCUGUUAAAUUAAGAUACCAAUUCGUCUAUUAAAUCAAUUGCUUCCAGCCACAGCCCUUGUUAUUCAAAUCAAGACAAAAAAAAGUCUGUGGAGUGUGAGGAGGCAGCUGAACCUGUCUCUUCCAGAAGCUCCUCUGGGGAUGAGAGAUGGGCAGGAAGCAGCGUGUGUUUGUGACGGAGAAACGUGAAUUCCAUGUGAAAGGGAGUAUGUUUUCUAACUUGGGGUUGGAGUUGGCUGUCGGGAAGCUGGUUCUGAGAUGGUGGUGUCGGUGCUGGAGGUGCCACCCCUCGGGAGGCUGUCUGGGUUCUAAGGUGGCAGCACAAAUUUACAGUUCUAGAACUGUAUUUCUAUCUGAAAGGGUUUAACAGUCAGAUGCUCUUUUUUUCCUCAGAAAUCCUCCUCUAUCUUUGCUACUUUACAAUAUUCUGGGGUUUUGUACAUUUCCUGGCAACAAUUUGACCCUUCCAUCUCAAAGCUGGUUUAAAGGAGCGUUCACCAUCGGUUGGCAUGAAGUGAGACCGAGCUGUCAGCUUUUCAUAAAAGUUCUCCCAGCACAGAAUCGGCUGACUCCUAAACUAAAUAUUUCUGCGUUUAUAUAUUGCUUUCCUGUUAUGUUUGGAUACUGGAAGACUUUUUUCUCUUACGAAAAAGCAGCAGGCACUCAUUGAGCCAUGAGGGUUGCCAGGGUGCUGUGGGUAAGUGACCAAAGACAGAAAUCAGACGGUCACAGACAACACAGCUUCUGUCCAACCCAGUUACCCUCCAGCAGCAGGUCUCAUUCUCCUUGGUCUCAGACCCCUUUACACUUAAAAGUUAUUGCAGAUUACAGGUCUACCAGAAAAAUUUUAAAAUAUGUAUUUAUUCAUUUCAAAAUAUCAGUACAGCAACUACAUGUUAAUGUUGUUUUUGCAAAAAGACUCUAUGUUUUCCAAAAAAAAAAUUAAAAGAGCAGCAUUCUUUUACACUUUUGCAAAUCUGCAUAAUAUCUGAAUCCCAUGAAAGAGGGCUGGGCCACAUGCAGACUCCUGCAGUCAGGCCACGGCAAUGUGUUGUUCUGCUGUUGAAGUCAAAAAGAAAAGUCAGGGAGGUCCUUGUUAGUCGCCUUUUCAGGCAACUGCGGACUCUUCCUUGAUACCACAUCAAAACUCAACAAGCCGUCAUCCUCUAAAGACCACGGUGUAGAAUCUGAAGCCGGUCGGUGACCGCGUGCCUGCUGCUGUAUCACAACACGUUGGUCUGUCCUGCACUUUGAAUGAAUCUUUUUCCUGUGAACAUCAUGUUUGGGUCAUGUGGAAAAUACUGGUUCACUGAGUUACGGAGAUUUUCCAAAUGCUGACACAGUUCAACAGAUGGUAUUUUUAAAAUCACGUGUACAACGUACAGGGCCUCGUACGUUGCAGACCGGUUGUGUCCACAAGCGUGCUGCCUGUGCCGGAUGCCAGGGCCCAAAGAUGAGUCUACCUGGGCCUGCCCACCAGAAGCUCAUUCUUGGGCAGGGCAGACAGUAAGACGGGCGACCCAUGUGGGCGAGGUGACAGCACGGACUCAGGUAACCGGAAAAAAGAAGACGGUGGCGUGCGCUGUGAGCCGGGUGGGCGGGAUCCGCGCGUGCGCUGUGAGCCGGGUGGGCGGGAUCCGCGCGUGCGCUGUGAGCCGGGUGGGCGGGAUCCGCACGUGCGCUGUGAGCCGGGUGGGCGGGAUCCGCGCGUGCGCUGUGAACCGGGUGGGCGGGAUCCGCGCGUGCGCUGUGAGCAGGGUGGGCAGGAUCCGCACGUGCGUGUGCUAUUGAGGACCUGCGUCCAGUGUGCGGGAGGCGGAGAUGAACCCACAGAGCAGGGCGCCUGCCCUUGAGGACCUGCGUCCAGUGUGCGGGAGGCGGAGGUGAACCCACAGAGCAGGGCGCCUGCCCUUGAGGACCUGCGUCCAGUGUGCGGGAGGCGGAGGUGAACCCACAG